GACUAUACUCAAUGUAGAAUAAG
This 23-nucleotide non-coding RNA is filed under the name Cricetulus griseus (Chinese hamster). The record is from RNAcentral. Lineage: Eukaryota; Metazoa; Chordata; Mammalia; Rodentia; Cricetidae.